CAGCAGACGAGUCCUAAACAGGACGAAACGCACGUCUUG
Molecule: non-coding RNA, 39 nt
Filed under: Schistosoma mansoni
Lineage: Eukaryota; Metazoa; Platyhelminthes; Trematoda; Strigeidida; Schistosomatidae
Source: RNAcentral